UCUCCGUUGGUGAACCAGCGGAGGGAUCAUUACUGAGUUACCGCUCUACAACCCUUUGUGAACAUUCCUAACUGUUGCUUAGGCGGGCAGAGGUCCCUCGCGGAACUCCCCCGGGAACGCCUUCACGGGAGGAGCGCCCGCCGGAGUAUACCAAACUCUAUUUUAACGACGUUUCUUCUGAGUGGCACAGGCAAAUAAUUACAACUUUUAACAACGGAUCUCUUGGUUCUG
RNAcentral lists this unclassified non-coding RNA (231 nucleotides) under plant metagenome. Its description in RNAcentral is "partial contains small subunit ribosomal RNA, internal transcribed spacer 1, and 5.8S ribosomal RNA". The record is from RNAcentral.